CCUACGGCGGCAGCAGUGGGGAAUAUUGGACAAUGGGCGAAAGCCUGAUCCAGCCAUGCCGCGUGUGUGAAGAAGGCCUUCGGGUUGUAAAGCACUUUCAGUGGGGAAGAAAGCCUUGGGGCUAAUACCCUCGAGGAAGGACAUCACCCACAGAAGAAGCACCGGCUAACUCCGUGCCAGCAGCCGCGGUAAUACGGAGGGUGCGAGCGUUAAUCGGAAUUACUGGGCGUAAAGCGCGCGUAGGCGGUCUGAUAAGCCGGUUGUGAAAGCCCCGGGCUCAACCUGGGAACGGCAUCCGGAACUGUCAGGCUAGAGUGCAGGAGAGGAAGGUAGAAUUCCCGGUGUAGCGGUGAAAUGCGUAGAGAUCGGGAGGAAUACCAGUGGCGAAGGCGGCCUUCUGGACUGACACUGACACUGAGGUGCGAAAGCGUGGGUAGCAAACAGGAUUAGAUACCCCUGUAGUC
This 464-nucleotide ribosomal RNA is filed under the name Vreelandella stevensii. RNAcentral's name for it is "partial 16S ribosomal RNA". It matches the Rfam family "Bacterial small subunit ribosomal RNA", at positions 338 to 795 of the family's 1533-position model. Lineage: Bacteria; Pseudomonadati; Pseudomonadota; Gammaproteobacteria; Oceanospirillales; Halomonadaceae. The record is from RNAcentral.